Molecule: long non-coding RNA, 2601 nt
Filed under: Pogonomyrmex barbatus (red harvester ant)
Lineage: Eukaryota; Metazoa; Arthropoda; Insecta; Hymenoptera; Formicidae
Description: uncharacterized LOC112552233, transcript variant X2
Source: RNAcentral
AAAUAUAAUCAUAAUGUGAUCAAUAUAUAAUAUUAUAUAGUUCAAUAUUAUUACAAGCUUCCCAGUGAGAUAUCGAUGAAUCCGGGGAGCAUCAAGUGAGAUCUAUUACAGAUGAUUCCUGAGGAUGAACACAAUGAAGCAAGAGCGUGACACAAAAAUUGAAGCUCGACCGGAAAGAUGACUCGAUAUGUAAAUUGCCGCAUAAGAAGAAGUCUCCGAGGAACCGACCCACUUAAGAUCAUCAGCCGGAAACCUAGCUAACUCAGAAAUAAGUGCCAUUUCAGAUCCACACUCAUAAAAAGUAGCUAGUACGAGAUCUUGCAUGUAUCGUGAUCUAUUGGCGUUGACUUGUAUUAUUUUCAUUAUUAAUGUCAGUAGUACCUUCACCAAUAUUAUCCAUAGACAUAAAUGCUUCUGGAGUACAUGUAACGUUGGUUGAACUAUUUGAAGACUAGUUUCUCAAAGUGAUCAAAGGACCAGGAGAACGAGGAGGACAAUCUUCACUACCGGCUCGAUGAUCAUGCGGUCUGGCAGCCUUCCGACACAAAGGUCAAUCCGGACGUCUCUUACAUUCUUUAAGUUUAUGCGAUGGAUCACCACAAUUGAAACAAGAACUAGCACGGUCAAUUAAGCUAGUAUAACGGUGCCAGGUAUGUCCCCUGGCGAAACAUCUGAAGCAUUUGGCAGGCCUAGAUAAUAAUUCUACCUUCACCGAGUUCAUCUAAUCAAGGUUGAUUACCUCAAGGUUUGAUAUUUUUAUUGCUGCGACUAACAAACAUUGAAGCCAUAUGACCCCAAGACCAUUCCUAGCAAGUCGAAUGGGACCACAGCGAACAUCAUCAAAAGAACAUCUGGUAAGAUUCAUUAUUUUCUGGAUUAUUUCAACUUUGACAGAAUCAUCGAACCCGCUCAUUCUAAUAUCCGCCAUUUUAUUUGUUAAUAUUAACAUUUGAAUCAUUAAUUAUUUCUUUCAUUUUUCUAGCAAGAUCAUCAGCCUUAAAUCCCGAUUAGAAUCUUCGCCUCUAACUUCUAGGAUGAAUCCACCUAAUAAGAUUCUCAUAUCCUCAAUGUUAAAACCUUUCAACGGUAUUUCCUUCCUGGCUUUGCUGAGAAUCGACGCGUAUGUGGACCCUCCGCUAUGACAGUUACAGCUGUUAAAUUGGGUGAAAUUUGCGCUUACCACCCGAAGUACCAGAGAGAGGCACGUGAAAUUGUCUAAAAGGCAUUUUCGAUAAUAUUGCAUCAAAAUUUCUAGGCGCCACUUAACAUCAAAAACCGAAGUGUGUUCAACAAUAACAGCAGGAGAAUCCAAGAUCGGAGAGCUACUUCUCACAGAACAACAACGGAUCCAAUGAAUCCGACACAACAGAAGGAGUCAAUAGAAGAAGGCCAACCAUUCUAUGAGAAGGAGAAAUCACCCGACAAGCCCCAUCAAUUCUGAGAGGGACAGCAAAAUCCAUAACCCCAUGCAUACGCUACACACUUCGAAUUGCAGAACUCGCAGCUUCAACUAGUAUAUUGCACUUAUGCCUACUAAUAUCUUCUCUAAGCUUCUUAAUAAUGUCCUUCAAUUCUUUAUUCUCUUCCCUAAUCCUGUUCAUUUCUUCUCGCAUUUCAGCCAUUUGCUUCCUAUAAUAUUCAUUAUUUCCAUCUCUAUUAGUCGAAGCUCUAAUCACAAGCUCUUCAACAUUACAUUUAAUAGACACAAAGUUCACCUAUAUCUUGCCACUAAUAAUAUCUUGCAGUGAUUCCGAACCUGUUCUUAGUGCAUCAGUCUCCGUAACCCAAUGACACGGACCGCAGCUGCUGUCGCCGAAAGAUCCUUCAAUUCAUUGACUCUAUCCGCGACUUCAUCUUUCUGAACCGGGGUGAGUCUAUUUCUAUCAGCAUCAGCAGGCAAAGAUUUCAUUUUUCUCUUUCUAGAUCGCUUUGUAAACAAAGGAGAAUGAUCAAACUUCCUAAUAUUCGAUAUCAAAUGCGUCGCGAUUCAAUUCCAUCUUCAUUAGAAUCGUCAAUGACGAUAGAACUGCCUGCAGCAGUAUCAAUAAUACCACAUGAGGUAGAUGCUUUGUCACGUUCAACAAACAAAGAAAAGUACGUUCUCCUAAUGAAGAUAUGUUUGUUUCAGAACUGUUGACAUUCCAAACUAAAACUGCCCAACGGAGGACUCUUUCGUUCGAAAUAAUUCUAGGAUGCACAUCCUCUGCAGUCAAGUCAAUAGCCACAUCAGUUGUUCCCCUACCAGUUGACGAGGCCCCAGCGGCAAGGACAGACCUACCAGGGUCAUGAUCCUCUCGGGAAGUACUCCCAAGAGGAUAUUCUCAAUUUCAUGCCCGUUGCUGGAGGACCGAGAUUAUAUUCUCAAUUUCAUGCCCGUUGCUGGACGACCGAGUCGGAACCAAGCUAAUCCCCCCCCCCUCUGCCAUUCCCCAGGUGUCCGAGUCCCUGAGGAUGAUAAAUCCUUCUUCUAUUCCAUAUCCAUUCCAUAUCCAUGAGUAAUUGGUUUUUUUUACAGAAAUUGCUGUCUACUGUCCCGCCAUACAACGCAGAUUGGGAAAUUCUAUGCAGUUCAUCAACCAAAAUAAUCCGUCUGGCAGAAAA